GCCCGGUUGGCGAAAUUGGCAGACGCAACGGACUUAAAAUCCGUUGUCCGCAAGGACGUGUGGGUUCGAGUCCCACACCGGGCACCA
RNAcentral lists this transfer RNA (87 nucleotides) under Bryobacterales bacterium. RNAcentral's name for it is "tRNA-Leu". It matches the Rfam family "tRNA". From Rfam's summary of the family: Transfer RNA (tRNA) molecules are approximately 80 nucleotides in length. Their secondary structure includes four short double-helical elements and three loops (D, anti-codon, and T loops). Further hydrogen bonds mediate the characteristic L-shaped molecular structure. tRNAs have two regions of fundamental functional importance: the anti-codon, which is responsible for specific mRNA codon recognition, and the 3' end, to which the tRNAs corresponding amino acid is attached (by aminoacyl-tRNA synthetases). tRNAs cope with the degeneracy of the genetic code in two manners: having more than one tRNA (with a specific anti-codon) for a particular amino acid; and 'wobble' base-pairing, i.e. permitting non-standard base-pairing at the 3rd anti-codon position. Lineage: Bacteria; Pseudomonadati; Acidobacteriota; Terriglobia; Bryobacterales. RNAcentral also lists the same sequence under 1 other name. The record is from RNAcentral.